RNAcentral lists this ribosomal RNA (275 nucleotides) under uncultured bacterium. Its description in RNAcentral is "partial 16S ribosomal RNA". It matches the Rfam family "Bacterial small subunit ribosomal RNA", at positions 338 to 610 of the family's 1533-position model. The record is from RNAcentral.
CCUACGGGAGGCUGCAGUAGGGAAUAUUGGGCAAUGGCCGAGAGGCUGACCCAGCCAUGCCGCGUGCCGGACGAAGGCCCUCUGGGUCGUAAACGGCUUUUAUCCUUGAAGAACAGCCCUCAUGCGUGGGGGUUUGACGGUAGAGGAGGAAUCAGCACCGGCUAACUCCGUGCCAGCAGCCGCGGUAAUACGGAGGGUGCAAGCGUUGUCCGGAUUUAUUGGGUUUAAAGGGUGCGCAGGUGGCUUUUUAAGUCUGGUUUGAAAGCAGGCGGCUC